RNAcentral lists this ribosomal RNA (253 nucleotides) under uncultured bacterium. RNAcentral's name for it is "partial 16S ribosomal RNA". It matches the Rfam family "Bacterial small subunit ribosomal RNA", at positions 524 to 776 of the family's 1533-position model. The record is from RNAcentral.
UACGAAGGGGGCUAGCGUUGUUCGGAAUUACUGGGCGUAAAGCGCGCGCAGGUGGUCUUUCAAGUCAGUGGUGAAAGCCCGGAGCUCAACUCCGGAAAUGCCAUUGAAACUGUAAGACUUGAGGAUGAGAGAGGUGAGUGGAAUUCCCAGUGUAGAGGUGAAAUGCGUAGAUAUUCGGAAGAACACCAGUGGCGAAGGCGGCUCACUGGACUGGUAUUGACGCUGAGGUGCGAAAGCGUGGGGAGCAAACAGG